RNAcentral lists this ribosomal RNA (377 nucleotides) under uncultured bacterium. Its description in RNAcentral is "bacterial SSU rRNA". It matches the Rfam family "Bacterial small subunit ribosomal RNA", at positions 523 to 898 of the family's 1533-position model. The record is from RNAcentral.
AUACGUAGGUGGCGAGCGUUGUCCGGAAUUACUGGGUGUAAAGGGCGUGUAGGCGGGGAUGCAAGUCAGAUGUGAAAUACCAUGGCUUAACUGUGGUGCUGCAUCUGAAACUGUGUUUCUUGAGUGCCGGAGAGGAAAGCGGAAUUCCAAGUGUAGCGGUGAAAUGCGUAGAGAUUUGGAGGAACACCGGUGGCGAAGGCGGCUUUCUGGACGGUAACUGACGCUGAGGCGCGAAAGCGUGGGGAGCAAACAGGAUUAGAUACCCUGGUAGUCCACGCUGUAAACGAUGGAUACUAGGUGUAGGAGGUAUCGACCCCUUCUGUGCCGGAGUUAACACAAUAAGUAUCCCACCUGGGGAGUACGGCCGCAAGGUUGAA